UCUGGUGGCGAUGCGCCUGAGGGAAACACCCGUACCCAUCCCGAACACGAUGGUUAAGCCUCAGGCGGCCGAUGGUACUGCACUGGAGACGGUGUGGGAGAGUAGGUGGCCGCCAGAC
This 118-nucleotide ribosomal RNA is filed under the name Lachnospiraceae bacterium MD308. Lineage: Bacteria; Bacillati; Bacillota; Clostridia; Lachnospirales; Lachnospiraceae. The record is from RNAcentral.